GACGAACGCUGGCGGCGUGCUUAACACAUGCAAGUCGAACGGAAAGGCCCUGCUUUUGUGGGGUGCUCGAGUGGCGAACGGGUGAGUAACACGUGAGUAACCUGCCCUUGACUUUGGGAUAACUUCAGGAAACUGGGGCUAAUACCGGAUAGGAGCUCCUGCUGCAUGGUGGGGGUUGGAAAGUUUCGGCGGUUGGGGAUGGACUCGCGGCUUAUCAGCUUGUUGGUGGGGUAGUGGCUUACCAAGGCUUUGACGGGUAGCCGGCCUGAGAGGGUGACCGGCCACAUUGGGACUAAGAUACGGCCCAGACUCCUACGGGAGGCAGCAGUGGGAAAUAUUGCACAAUGGGCGGAAGCCUGAUGCAGCAACGCCGCGUGCGGGAUGACGGCCUUCGGGUUGUAAACCGCUUUAGCCUGUGACGAAGCGUGAGUGACGGUAAUGGGUAAAGAAGCACGGGCUAACUACGUG
Molecule: ribosomal RNA, 468 nt
Filed under: uncultured bacterium
Lineage: Bacteria
Description: partial 16S ribosomal RNA
Rfam family: Bacterial small subunit ribosomal RNA
Source: RNAcentral